RNAcentral lists this unclassified non-coding RNA (378 nucleotides) under uncultured Actinomycetes bacterium. Its description in RNAcentral is "uncultured actinobacterium contains 16S-23S intergenic spacer region". Lineage: Bacteria; Bacillati; Actinomycetota; Actinomycetes. The record is from RNAcentral.
UCCGGUUUGGCACCGGCAGUCUCCAAUGAGUCCCCGGCAUUACCCGCUGGCAACAUUGGACAGGGGUUGCGCUCGUUGCGCCACUUAAGGCAACACCUCACGGCACGAGCCGACGACAGCCAUGCAACACCUGUGCGGGCUCCCGAAGGAGGACCGUAUUUCUACGGCUUCACCCCACAUGUCAAGCCCUGGUAAGGUUCUUCGCGUUGCGUCGAAUUAAGCCACAUGCUCCGCCGCUUGUGCGGGCCCCCGUCAAUUCCUUUGAGUUUUAGCCUUGCGGCCGUACUCCCCAGGCGGGGCGCUUAAUGCGUUAGCUGCGGCACGGAGGCCGUGGAAGGACCCCCACACCUAGCGCCCAACGUUUACGGCGUGGACUAC